GUUGAACGCUGGCGGCGUGCCUAACACAUGCAAGUCGAGCGGUAACAGGUGUAGCAAUACAUGCUGACGAGCGGCGAACGGGUGAGUAAUGCUUCGGAAUCUGCCCAUGUAGUGGGGAAUAACCAGCCGAAAGGUUGGCUAAUACCGCAUACGACCCUUGCCCACAAGGCAAAGGUGAAAGCAGGGGAUCGCAAGACCUUGCGCUAUUGGAUGAGCCGAAGUCGGAUUAGCUAGUUGGUAGGGUAACGGCCUACCAAGGCGACGAUCCGUAGCUGGUCUGAGAGGACGACCAGCCACACUGGGACUGAGACACGGCCCAGACUCCUACGGGAGGCAGCAGUGGGGAAUAUUGGACAAUGGGGCAACCCUGAUCCAGCGACGCCGCGUGUGUGAAGAAGGCUGCGGGUUGUAAAGC
RNAcentral lists this ribosomal RNA (415 nucleotides) under uncultured bacterium. RNAcentral's name for it is "bacterial SSU rRNA". It matches the Rfam family "Bacterial small subunit ribosomal RNA", at positions 28 to 431 of the family's 1533-position model. The record is from RNAcentral.